GCUCCAGUGGCGAAAUGGUAGACGCAGUUGACUCAAAAUCAACCGACGCAGGUCAUGCUGGUUCAAGUCCAGUCUGGAGUACCA
RNAcentral lists this transfer RNA (84 nucleotides) under Metamycoplasma neophronis. Its description in RNAcentral is "Mycoplasma neophronis tRNA-Leu". It matches the Rfam family "tRNA". From Rfam's summary of the family: Transfer RNA (tRNA) molecules are approximately 80 nucleotides in length. Their secondary structure includes four short double-helical elements and three loops (D, anti-codon, and T loops). Further hydrogen bonds mediate the characteristic L-shaped molecular structure. tRNAs have two regions of fundamental functional importance: the anti-codon, which is responsible for specific mRNA codon recognition, and the 3' end, to which the tRNAs corresponding amino acid is attached (by aminoacyl-tRNA synthetases). tRNAs cope with the degeneracy of the genetic code in two manners: having more than one tRNA (with a specific anti-codon) for a particular amino acid; and 'wobble' base-pairing, i.e. permitting non-standard base-pairing at the 3rd anti-codon position. Lineage: Bacteria; Bacillati; Mycoplasmatota; Mycoplasmoidales; Metamycoplasmataceae. The record is from RNAcentral.